UUCAGCCAAACCCGUCUGUAUAGAGUAAGAGACCGCCUCACACAACCCUAACAUCAGCAGCCGCCAAUCACCUUCUCGAAAACUCACAGCCGCGACACACACACACAGAGUAAGAACAAGAAGAACGACUUGCUCCAUAGAAAUCAGUUCCAAAAUACUCUCACCCUCUUCAUCAAUUUUUCACUAAAAUUAUAUCUUCAUUAGCCAAAAUCUCACUAUGUAGACCACCUGCGGUCACUAUCCUUUCGCCGGAAAACUCCAUUAAUGCUGCUCACAAACCUUUUUCUAAAAGCACUAAUUAACACCCACAAGACAAGUCAUUUAUUUCUUGAGUUAGAGUUUAACAGAGGUCUCAUUCGAGGGUGCCGUACGUAUUUCGGUCGCUGGCUCUAUUUGUAAUUCAAAAUUGCCGAUCAAGUUUUCUGGUCACUUAUCCAGUUGCUCGUUCAAAUAUUUAUUGAUGAUUCAUUGUUGGGUGUUCUUUUGUUAAUCCGGAGUUGAAAAAUUUCGUCAGUAAGGUCCAUUUCUCAUCCUACUUGAAUUUUGAGCGUGAAUGAGGUUCUAUUUCAAGCAUGCUAUUGUCUUUCCCUUAAUCUUCGUAUUUAUGUGCUUAUAUCAC
RNAcentral lists this long non-coding RNA (619 nucleotides) under Nicotiana benthamiana. Its description in RNAcentral is "long non-coding RNA (NBEN_LNC017686)". Lineage: Eukaryota; Viridiplantae; Streptophyta; Magnoliopsida; Solanales; Solanaceae. The record is from RNAcentral.